This 459-nucleotide ribosomal RNA is filed under the name uncultured bacterium. RNAcentral's name for it is "partial 16S ribosomal RNA". It matches the Rfam family "Bacterial small subunit ribosomal RNA", at positions 338 to 795 of the family's 1533-position model. The record is from RNAcentral.
CCUACGGGAGGCAGCAGUGAGGAAUAUUGGUCAAUGGACGCAAGUCUGAACCAGCCAUGCCGCGUGCAGGAAGACGGCUCUAUGAGUUGUAAACUGCUUUUGCACGAGGGUAAACGCAGAUACGCGUAUCUGUCUGAAAGUAUCGUACGAAUAAGGAUCGGCUAACUCCGUGCCAGCAGCCGAGGUAAGACGGAGGAUUCAAGGGUUAUCCGGAUUGAUUGGGUUGAAGGGGUGCGUAGGCGGAAUGCCAAGUCAGCGGGAAAAUCGCGGGGCUAAACCUCGCUCCGCCGUUGAAACUGGCGUUCUUGAGUGGGCGAGAAGAUAGCGGAAUGCGUGGUGUAGCGGUGAAAUGCAUAGAUAUCACGCAGAACUUCGAUGGCGAAGGCAGCAAACCGGCGCCCAACUGACGCUGAAGCACGAAAGCGUGGGUAUCGAACAGGAUUAGAUACCCGAGUAGUC